UUUCUCUGAAUUACAAAACCCCAAGGGGCUCAGGACACACGCCCUGCCCCCAGGGCCCACGGAGGGAUCCCCGGCCCACGCCUUCCGGUUCCCACGGCUUCCUGAGGCCGCACCGGCCCGGCGGCUGGGGCUUCGCAGGGCUCACCGGGGGCAGGACCCCGAGAGCCUCGGCAUGUACCUGAGCGCAGGCAGAGCUUCUCUCUGGAGAGGGUUCAAGGACCAAGGAAAGGAAAUAGAAACAUCAGUGAUGAGAGAUUGAUGGACGCUGCCUCCUGCACGCCCCCCACUGGGGAUGGAGCCCACGACCCGGGCCUGUGCCCUGACUGGGAUCGAACCCUGACCUCCUGGUUCACAGGUCAACGCCCAACCCCUGAGCCACACCGGCCCGGCUCCAGCCAUGUUCCACGCAUCAUUUUUGCAAGGAUUCUGACGUGUGUCCCUGCUUUUUUCACUUCACAUAGAACACGUCUCUGUCUUGAAAAACUCACAUCAUUCAAAUAAAGCCUGGCUAUUUCGUCACGUG
Molecule: long non-coding RNA, 523 nt
Organism: Eptesicus fuscus (big brown bat)
Lineage: Eukaryota; Metazoa; Chordata; Mammalia; Chiroptera; Vespertilionidae
Exons: 2
Source: RefSeq, a predicted model, not a curated record